GUCUAGAGAAGACACUGGGCGCUGUAGGGCUGUUGGCCCCAAAGGGUCGUGGGGUGUCCCUUAUGCUGUGCUGAGGUGCAGGAUCCGAGAAGUAAAGAGACAGGACACUGAGGAACUGGUGAUGAGCAUCUGGACUUGGGGGGGCCACGCCACCUAUGAGCAGAGACAGGCGAGGCCCGGAACUCUCAGAAGCAUCUGUAUUUAUUAGGUACAAGCAGGGGAAGGGUUGUAAGUGAGGUCAUCACCUAUAGGCU
Sapajus apella (tufted capuchin) is the source of this 254-nucleotide long non-coding RNA. RefSeq lists it as uncharacterized. The transcript has 3 exons. NCBI's taxonomy places the organism in Eukaryota, Metazoa, Chordata, Mammalia, Primates, Cebidae. The record is from RefSeq and is a predicted model, not a curated record.